This 1004-nucleotide ribosomal RNA is filed under the name Kerstersia gyiorum. RNAcentral's name for it is "bacterial SSU rRNA". It matches the Rfam family "Bacterial small subunit ribosomal RNA", at positions 80 to 1075 of the family's 1533-position model. Lineage: Bacteria; Pseudomonadati; Pseudomonadota; Betaproteobacteria; Burkholderiales; Alcaligenaceae. The record is from RNAcentral.
GCUCCUUGGUGGCGAGUGGCGAACGGGUGAGUAAUAUAUCGGAACAUGCCCAGUAGCGGGGGAUAACUACUCGAAAGAGUGGCUAAUACCGCAUACGUCCUACGGGAGAAAGCAGGGGACCUUCGGGCCUUGCACUAUUGGAGUGGCCGAUAUCGGAUUAGCUAGUUGGUGGGGUAAAGGCCUACCAAGGCGACGAUCCGUAGCUGGUUUGAGAGGACGACCAGCCACACUGGGACUGAGACACGGCCCAGACUCCUACGGGAGGCAGCAGUGGGGAAUUUUGGACAAUGGGGGAAACCCUGAUCCAGCCAUCCCGCGUGUGCGAUGAAGGCCUUCGGGUUGUAAAGCACUUUUGUCAGGAAAGAAAUCGCCCGGGAUAAUACCUCGGGUGGAUGACGGUACCUGAAGAAUAAGCACCGGCUAACUACGUGCCAGCAGCCGCGGUAAUACGUAGGGUGCAAGCGUUAAUCGGAAUUACUGGGCGUAAAGCGUGCGCAGGCGGUUCGGAAAGAAAGAUGUGAAAUCCCAGGGCUUAACCUUGGAACUGCAUUUUUAACUACCGGGCUAGAGUGUGUCAGAGGGGGGUGGAAUUCCGCGUGUAGCAGUGAAAUGCGUAGAUAUGCGGAGGAACACCGAUGGCGAAGGCAGCCCCCUGGGAUAACACUGACGCUCAUGCACGAAAGCGUGGGGGAGCAAACAGGAUUAGAUACCCUGGUAGUCCACGCCCUAAACGAUGUCAACUAGCUGUUGGGGCCUUCGGGCCUUAGUAGCGCAGCUAACGCGUGAAGUUGACCGCCUGGGGAGUACGGUCGCAAGAUUAAAACUCAAAGGAAUUGACGGGGACCCGCACAAGCGGUGGAUGAUGUGGAUUAAUUCGAUGCAACGCGAAAAACCUUACCUACCCUUGACAUGUCUGGGAUCCCGAAGAGAUUUGGGGAGUGCUCGCAAGAGAACCCGGAACACAGGUGCUGCAUGGCUGUCGUCAGCUCGUGUCGUGGAGAUGU